AAUAUGACUUGACAUUAUGUAUGAGCCCAGGACUGAACAAAAGAAUGAGACAUACUCAGUGGCUCGCCUCAUCUGCCUCACUCCACAGCACUCAGUGGUCCAUGGCCAUCAACCUGCAUGGAUACGUGAAUGGAUACCUACAUAAUUAAUCAUCAAGAAAAAAAAGUUUCCUUUUUUUCUCUCCAAUCUUUGUGACUUUCACGUGUACUUCUUGCCUGACUGCAUAUACUGAGUACGAAGCUGAAUAGCAAGAUAAAGAGUGACAUAAUACAUUUUCUCUUCUGCUGUGCUUGACCAACAUACUCCGUAUGUACGUCACGGACAUAAGAAUCUUGGCCCCCGUGAAAUUUGUCCUUUGAUGUUGUGUCUGUGGAU
Long non-coding RNA from Suricata suricatta (meerkat), 375 nucleotides. RefSeq lists it as uncharacterized. NCBI's taxonomy places the organism in Eukaryota, Metazoa, Chordata, Mammalia, Carnivora, Herpestidae. The transcript has 3 exons. The record is from RefSeq and is a predicted model, not a curated record.